GACGAACGCUGGCGGCGUGCUUAACACAUGCAAGUCGAACGAAGAGAGAUGGAAGCUUGCUUCUAUUAAUCUUAGUGGCGAACGGGUGAGUAACGCGUAAUCAACCUGCCCUUCAGAGGGGGACAACAGUUGGAAACGACUGCUAAUACCGCAUACGAUCUAACUUCGGCAUCGAGGUUAGAUGAAAGGUGGCCUCUAUUUAUAAGCUAUCGCUGAAGGAGGGGAUUGCGUCUGAUUAGCUAGUUGGAGGGGUAACGGCCCACCAAGGCGAUGAUCAGUAGCCGGUCUGAGAGGAUGAACGGCCACAUUGGGACUGAGACACGGCCCAGACUCCUACGGGAGGCAGCAGUGGGGAAUCUUCCGCAAUGGACGAAAGUCUGACGGAGCAACGCCGCGUGAGUGAUGACGGCCUUCGGGUUGUAAAGCUCUGUUAAUCGGGACGAAUGGUUCUUGUGCAAAUA
RNAcentral lists this ribosomal RNA (461 nucleotides) under Veillonella atypica. RNAcentral describes it as "bacterial SSU rRNA". It matches the Rfam family "Bacterial small subunit ribosomal RNA", at positions 28 to 466 of the family's 1533-position model. Lineage: Bacteria; Bacillati; Bacillota; Negativicutes; Veillonellales; Veillonellaceae. The record is from RNAcentral.